This is a long non-coding RNA of Meleagris gallopavo (turkey), 2979 nucleotides long. RefSeq lists it as uncharacterized. The record is from RefSeq and is a predicted model, not a curated record. Lineage: Eukaryota; Metazoa; Chordata; Aves; Galliformes; Phasianidae.
GACGUGAACUCACUUGUGAGGCUCUUCUACAGACCUCUCCAAGGUGGUGUGUGACAAGGACAUAGUGGAAAUUCCUCAAAGAAGCUCAUAUGCUUUUCAGUCUGGGCAACCGUGUUGUUGUCUGUAUUUUAUUCAUAUCAAUCAGUUUUUUUCACACCCAUCUUAGCUUCUUAUUGGUACCACAAGCCAACACUUGCUAGAAAACGUCACCCUUGGAAAACAGCCUGUACCAUAUGACUGCUGUCUCUUUUCAUUUAUUUUCUGCUCAGAUCUUAAACAUGCACUUCUUCUGAAGGCCACCAGUGAUAAUAUUCACUCCUUCUCCAAAAACACGUGAGUAAAUCCCUCCUCACACAGGUGAGGUUUGGGGUGGGGAUAAACAGAGGAGGAUGCCAAGUAAACACAGGACCGCUGGGCAGCUUUGGCGGAUCUCAGUGAUACUGUCUGGGUAAUUCAGGGGAAGGUUUCUCUAAAAUGGUGUCUUUGUCACGCGAAGCGCGGAAAGCAGUUUCCUCGCUCCGGCUCACAGCCGUCCGUGCGUAACUUGUUCGCAUGACGGCCGCCGGCCAGAAGGGGGCGCCCAAGAGUGCGGCUCGGCCGGAUCUACCCGCUUCGUACAGCCCCUGGGCUCUACUUAAUGCCUGCGGCCGCCGUGCAGGAGCAAGGUCGUUGCUGCUCGCCAGAGGCUGUGUAGCGAGAGGCUCGCCCAGGUGCUAGGGCAGCCCUGCGGAGUGAAUGCCUUUCUCAGCAGUGAAGGCAGCUGGAAGUUUGGUGAUGGACAAUGCGAGUUGUCGACCCCUUUUGCGAGGUCACGCCCCCUUCCGGAUGCUUAAACAAGUCAGGACUCAGCAGAGCUUUCAUCCCACUGGCUAACUCAAGUCUUGGCCAUCAAUUGCAUUCAAGAAUUAUCUUCUCCAGCCCAAAGAGAGUUUGAUGUCUUACAGCUGAACUAUCAUCAAAGCAGGUGUUACAGGAAAACAGAACCCUUCAGCUGUAUGGAAACCACGAGAAACAGAAUUUCUACUCUAGAUGAAUUCAUUUUCCAUGGAAAUGAAGAAACCUGAACUACAGCCCUUCAAAUCCUAGUAUGAGGUGUGUAAUCCUACAAGAGGCAUCUUGAAUUAGGUCUUUCUCAGGUUACAGUGCUUUGCAGUGGAUGGCUGGAGGAGAGGUUACCUAAUGAGUGCAGCAUGAACAGACCAUUGAGGUGUUUCCAUGAAGCUCUGCAGGAACCCAAUUCUCUACAAAUCAUUUUGGUUUCAUGAUACAGCUUGUUUUGCCAAAGGUGUUGUGGUGUUUUUAUCUUACUAACCUUCAACCUUCUACAUCAUGCAGAUCUUCACAGACAUCUUGGCCACUAUUAGAGCUUGUUCUCAGAAGGUGGCAAAAUGCAUAUCCUGAAUUCCAAGAACUGGCGGAAGACUCUUGCUGGAAGAAAAUGUUGCUGCAUUUCUUUUCAACUUGGACAAUUUUGUUCCAUGCUCACAAAAGUAAUUAAAAAUGUUCUGAAGUAGUUUUUUCAUGGCAGAUACUUGCCUGGCACUUGGUGUGGGGGAGAAGCUCGGUGGUAUGCAGUGAGCUGGACAUGAGGCUGUGAUGUUCACUGGCCUAUGAUCAUGGAAGUGGAACCAAAUGGAAGUGAGCUCCUGCUCAAAGCACGCUUAACUAAUGGUAGUGCUGCUGAUGCUGCCUAAAGCAGCUGUGCUGUUCCUAAGAUCAGAACUGUCAUCGCAGAAAUGAUGGAUGGCAUUUAAUGAGCAAAUGUUGCUGUCUGUCAGCCUGAGGGAAGGAGACUGUUGCUCAUUCUGUGCCAUCUCUGGUAGAUCUGCUGGAUUUGAGUCCUCUGAAAUAUUCGACAAUGGCCCCUGCGGCUGACAAUGGAGAGCCCAGUUCUGCCAGAGUGUUGGAGACCCUCUGCUCCAUGUCCAAGGAAGAGUAGAGGACAGGCAACAUCACGCUGUGUACAGAAGCAGACAGAGCAGCACCUUCUUGCUCCAGCCUGUGUGUCAGAGCUGCCAUCCACCUCAUGUGGAUGAACACCUACUGGGAAAUUCAGACCAACUGGGGAGGUAGCAAGCAAGGAGGUAUGUGUGUGGGGUUAGAAGUUCAUGAUCUAUAUCUGGCCAGCUGAACACAUCAGCAUGUCUCAAACCUUCCAGGGGUCGAAGGGAUGCUUCAGCAGCCUUCCGAAGAAAGAGCCAUGGAUGUCAUUUUGUCAGUGCCAUGAAAUUUUCUCAUUUCCCACAGGGAGUAGGGGACAAACCAGUUCACCUCUGGGAUUAAUUGACAUGCUUUGUAUUUGCUGUUGGUUAUUUUUCUGCUUCUUUAUAUUCUUUAUAUCUUUAUAUAUCUUUAUAUCUAUCUUUAUAUUCUUUAGCUUUCAUCAAUAUCUAACUGAUUUCUGUUAUGGAAAUCUAUGCAUGUGAAUUUAAGAGUAUUGAAAUCCUAAUAAAAUCCAAUUUGAUGAGGACAAUCAUAGAAAAAUAAUAUAUGCAGAGUUGGUAUGGCUUUUUCCAAAUGACUUCCUUCUUCAUUAGUUAUCCCAGGAAGAAGAGGAAUACAGUUUUGAAGCAUGAGGAAAUGCCAGGCAGUCAGAGGAUGCAUGUUGUUCAGGCUGCAGUUUUGUGACAUGGUUCCUAAUGAACAGAAAUCAACAUCCAUUACUUCAGCUUGCCAGAUAAAUCCCCACUCUUCUGCUUGCUCUAACCACUCCUUCAAAAGCGUUUUUAAACUCCAGGCUUCUGCUGGAGGCUUUUCACAUGACCGCAAAAGCAUAUACGCAAGCACAUAUGCAUAAAGAGCAACAAAAUGAUAACUGUUCCCCUCUAUCAUUUAAUGCUUGUAAUUUAAAAGAGAUUAUUCAUGUUGGUUUUGCUUUGACAGAAGAGCAGUGGAUUUUUCUGAAAUGUAUUUUCCAGUUCAGAAGGUUAAGAACAAUUCUGUGCCUGGGGGAUAAAAAAAAGAAAAAAGAAAAAAAAA